Molecule: non-coding RNA, 21 nt
Organism: Caenorhabditis elegans
Lineage: Eukaryota; Metazoa; Nematoda; Chromadorea; Rhabditida; Rhabditidae
Source: Ensembl
UAAGCGUAAUGUGUCGGACGC